UAGCUUAUCAGACUGGUACAA
Molecule: microRNA, 21 nt
Filed under: Mus musculus (house mouse)
Lineage: Eukaryota; Metazoa; Chordata; Mammalia; Rodentia; Muridae
Description: mmu-miR-21c
Gene: mmu-miR-21c
Source: miRBase by way of RNAcentral